This 680-nucleotide ribosomal RNA is filed under the name uncultured bacterium. Its description in RNAcentral is "bacterial SSU rRNA". It matches the Rfam family "Bacterial small subunit ribosomal RNA", at positions 8 to 667 of the family's 1533-position model. The record is from RNAcentral.
AGAGUUUGAUCAUGGCUCAGAUUGAACGCUGGCGGCAGGCCUAACACAUGCAAGUCGAGCGGAAACGAGUUAUCUGAACCUUCGGGGGACGAUAACGGCGUCGAGCGGCGGACGGGUGAGUAAUGCCUAGGAAAUUGCCCUGAUGUGGGGGAUAACCAUUGGAAACGAUGGCUAAUACCGCAUGAUGCCUACGGGCCAAAGAGGGGGACCUUCGGGCCUCUCGCGUCAGGAUAUGCCUAGGUGGGAUUAGCUAGUUGGUGAGGUAAGGGCUCACCAAGGCGACGAUCCCUAGCUGGUCUGAGAGGAUGAUCAGCCACACUGGAACUGAGACACGGUCCAGACUCCUACGGGAGGCGGCAGUGGGGAAUAUUGCACAAUGGGCGCAAGCCUGAUGCAGCCAUGCCGCGUGUGUGAAGAAGGCCUUCGGGUUGUAAAGCACUUUCAGUCGUGAGGAAGGCGGGUACGUUAAUAGCGUAUUCGUUUGACGUUAGCGACAGAAGAAGCACCGGCUAACUCCGUGCCAGCAGCCGCGGUAAUACGGAGGGUGCGAGCGUUAAUCGGAAUUACUGGGCGUAAAGCGCAUGCAGGUGGUUUGUUAAGUCAGAUGUGAAAGCCCGGGGCUCAACCUCGGAAUAGCAUUUGAAACUGGCAGACUAGAGUACUGUAGAGGGGGGUAGAAA